UACAGAGGUCUCAAGCGUUGUUCGGAUUCAUUGGGCGUAAAGGGUGCGUAGGCGGCGCGGUAAGUCAUGUGAAAUCUCGGAGCUUAACUUCGAAACUGCAUUCGAUACUGCCGUGCUUGAGGACUGGAGAGGAGACUGGAAUUUACGGUGUAGCGGUGAAAUGCGUAGAUAUCGUAAGGAAGACCAGUGGCGAAGGCGGGUCUCUGGACAGUUCCUGACGCUGAGGCACGAAGGCCAGGGGAGCAAACGGG
RNAcentral lists this ribosomal RNA (251 nucleotides) under uncultured bacterium. RNAcentral describes it as "partial 16S ribosomal RNA". It matches the Rfam family "Bacterial small subunit ribosomal RNA", at positions 524 to 776 of the family's 1533-position model. The record is from RNAcentral.